This 45-nucleotide non-coding RNA is filed under the name Schistosoma curassoni. The record is from RNAcentral. Lineage: Eukaryota; Metazoa; Platyhelminthes; Trematoda; Strigeidida; Schistosomatidae.
AUCUAGCUGGUGAGUCUCAAAUGAGAUGAAACGGAUGUCCUAGAU